ACGACAAGGAGGGGCAAGGAAUAUGCAUUGAGCAUUUUGAAGGAGACUCCCCGCUAAAAAAGAAUAUUCAGCACCACUACAUCUCAGCCUUACAGUUGCACAGUGAAGCCAAGUGGAGAGAAGACAUGCUGUACCGCAUAUGCCAGGAGGUUUUGGUCAACUUGUGCACAACUACAAUGUAUCUCAUUGGCUGCAGACAGACAGCGAGAACACUACCGAUGUGGCAUGGCAUUUAGAGGCAGAAUAUUGCGCUGCGUUUUGCAUAUCCUUUCAAGUUGACACUUGUUAAUGCAUCAUUGGCGUGUUGUAUCCACAGUUUAUCCUUUCAUCACAAUUGUAAGCCUCUUAUUUGGAACACAAGUAAGCCUGCACGGACACUACCAUAUAACCUUUCGCAUUAUCGUACAAUAUACACUGUAGUUCUUCUAGUAUACUUUUUUUACGUAUUCAAUGAAGUAGAAUGUACCAGUUGGGUACCAUUAUCAUUGCUUCAUAACUUUAUUGCAUGCAAAAUUGUCCUGUUGACUGCCAUUUGUGUCACAUAAUUAUUUUUGCAACCUAAACCUCAUAUUAGCUUUCAACAGUCACUGCUGCUGAAGCAUUGUUAUGAUAUUAUAGUAGAUUCGGGACAGAAAAUUUGUGAAAUUCAAA
Long non-coding RNA from Branchiostoma belcheri (Belcher's lancelet), 651 nucleotides. RefSeq lists it as uncharacterized. NCBI's taxonomy places the organism in Eukaryota, Metazoa, Chordata, Leptocardii, Amphioxiformes, Branchiostomatidae. The transcript has 3 exons. The record is from RefSeq and is a predicted model, not a curated record.